Long non-coding RNA from Mustela erminea (ermine), 327 nucleotides. RefSeq lists it as uncharacterized. NCBI's taxonomy places the organism in Eukaryota, Metazoa, Chordata, Mammalia, Carnivora, Mustelidae. The record is from RefSeq and is a predicted model, not a curated record. The transcript has 3 exons.
UGUUAUACUUGUUUCCUUGACAAUAGUCUGGGCUUGAAUAAGAUCCCAAUUUUGAUAAGCAAAAGUCAAUGAAAAAUACACUCUUCAGAAUGUCUGUUGAUGAUUAUCUGCUGAGUAGUGUUGUUAGUGUACUACAGAAGAGAAUUCGGAGACACUUUUGGAUCUGCCCUGUCAGUGAUGUGCAAGUCCCUGGAUGCUUCUUCCCUCAUCAAAGAUAAAAAGUUUGAGAAGCCCUGCCCUAGAAAACCUCUCACACAAAUACACAAUGAGAGUUGUACAGGUGUGACCACUGAAGAACCAUCUGUAAGAAAAAAAAACCUAUUAAAA